This is a non-coding RNA of Cinara cedri, 339 nucleotides long. NCBI's taxonomy places the organism in Eukaryota, Metazoa, Arthropoda, Insecta, Hemiptera, Aphididae. The record is from the annotation of a GenBank genome assembly.
AAACUCAAAAAAUUGAUUUAGACGCUCUACGUAUAGUGUCCACACACUUACAGACAAUCGAACUUACAAACAAAAAUUAUAAAAGAACAAUAAUAUAGGUGUUAGACGAAUUGUUUUUCUUUAUGGGAAUAGAUUAUUUAACGUUUAAAAAAUAUGCAAACGCAAAAACGUUAACAGUUUGGUCGUAUAAAAUGCUAGGCAUAAACUGCAGUGCUCGAGUUAGUUUAUAUUGUAUGGUUGUUAUAUAAUGUAACAUUAGAUUAGAAACCACUCCCGAUUUUGAUGAUCGGAGCAAGUAGAUUUCUAGUGAAAAAGUCGUUUGCAGACGGCAAAACAUAC